RNAcentral lists this unclassified non-coding RNA (402 nucleotides) under soil metagenome. RNAcentral's name for it is "partial contains 5.8S ribosomal RNA, internal transcribed spacer 2, and large subunit ribosomal RNA". The stretch from base 1 to 121 matches the Rfam family "5.8S ribosomal RNA", at positions 35 to 154 of the family's 154-position model. The record is from RNAcentral.
GAUGAAGAACGUAGCGAAAUGCGAUAAGUAAUGUGAAUUGCAGAAUUCAGUGAAUCAUCGAAUCUUUGAACGCACCUUGCGCCCUUUGGCUAUUCUGAAGGGCAUGCCUGUUUGAGUAUCAUGAACACCUCAACUCUCAUGGUUUGCCUUGAUGAGCUUGGACUUUGGGGGUCUUGCUGGCCUACGGUCAGCUCCUCUCAAAUGAAUCAGCUUGCCAGUGUUUGGUAGAGUCGCAGGUGUGAUAACUAUCUACGCUUGUGGUUUUCUGCCAGAUAACCUUCAGUGAUGGAGGUUCGCUGGAGCUUAUAAAUGUCUCUCCCCAGUGAGGACAGCUUUUUGAACGUUUGAUCUCAAAUCAGGCAGGACUACCCGCUGAACUUAAGCAUAUCAAUAAGCGGAGGA